UAGCCAGCACCCCGAGUGGUCGGGACGUUUAUUAGGGCCUAAAGCAUCCGUAGCCGGUUCUACAAGUCGUUCCGUUAAACUCCACCUGCUUAACGAGAUGGGCGUGCGGAAGAUACUAUGGAGCUAGGAGGCGGGAGAGGCAAGCGGUUCACUCGGAUGGGAUAGGGGUAAAAUCCGUUGAUCCAUUGAAGACCACCAGUGGCGAAGGCGGCUUGCCAGAACGCGCUCGACGGUGAGGGAUAAAAGCUGGGGGAGCAAACCGG
RNAcentral lists this ribosomal RNA (263 nucleotides) under uncultured bacterium. RNAcentral's name for it is "partial 16S ribosomal RNA". It matches the Rfam family "Archaeal small subunit ribosomal RNA", at positions 473 to 727 of the family's 1478-position model. The record is from RNAcentral.